Molecule: ribosomal RNA, 492 nt
Filed under: uncultured bacterium
Lineage: Bacteria
Description: partial 16S ribosomal RNA
Rfam family: Bacterial small subunit ribosomal RNA
Source: RNAcentral
AGUGAACGCUGGCGGUAGGCCUAACACAUGCAAGUCGAACGGCAGCACAGUAAGAGCUUGCUCUUACGGGUGGCGAGUGGCGGACGGGUGAGGAAUACAUCGGAAUCUACUUUUUCGUGGGGGAUAACGUAGGGAAACUUACGCUAAUACCGCAUACGACCUACGGGUGAAAGCAGGGGAUCUUCGGACCUUGCGCGAUUGAAUGAGCCGAUGUCGGAUUAGCUAGUUGGCGGGGUAAAGGCCCACCAAGGCGACGAUCCGUAGCUGGUCUGAGAGGAUGAUCAGCCACACUGGAACUGAGACACGGUCCAGACUCCUACGGGAGGCAGCAGUGGGGAAUAUUGGACAAUGGGCGCAAGCCUGAUCCAGCCAUACCGCGUGGGUGAAGAAGGCCUUCGGGUUGUAAAGCCCUGUUGUUGGGAAAGAAAAGCAGCAGGUUAAUACCCCGCUGUUCUGACGGUACCCAAAGAAUAAGCGCCGGCUAACUUCGUG